AACGAACGCUGGCGGCAGGCUUAACACAUGCAAGUCGAGCGCCCCGCAAGGGAAGCGGCAGCCGGGUGAGUAACGCGUGGGAACUUACCUUUUGGUUCGUAACAACUCCGGGAAACUGGAGCUAAUACCGGAUAAGCCCUCACGUGGAAAGAUUUAUCGACGACAGCUCGGCCCGCGUCUGAUUAGCUAGUUGGUGAGGUAACGUCUCACCAAGGCGACGAUCAGUAGCUGGUCUGAGAGGAUGAGCAGCCACACUGGGACUGAGACACGGCCCAGAAUCCUACGGGAGGGAGCAGUGGGGAAUAGAGGACAAUGGGGGCAAGCCUGAUCGAGCCAUGACGGGUGAGUGAUGAAGGCAUUAGGGUAGUAAAGCGCUUUUGUCCGGGAAGAUAAUGACGGUACCGGAAGAAUAAGCCCCGGCUAACUUCGUG
This 431-nucleotide ribosomal RNA is filed under the name uncultured bacterium. RNAcentral's name for it is "partial 16S ribosomal RNA". It matches the Rfam family "Bacterial small subunit ribosomal RNA", at positions 29 to 507 of the family's 1533-position model. The record is from RNAcentral.